This 305-nucleotide ribosomal RNA is filed under the name Bacillus sp. LED02. RNAcentral describes it as "partial 23S ribosomal RNA". Lineage: Bacteria; Bacillati; Bacillota; Bacilli; Caryophanales; Bacillaceae. The record is from RNAcentral.
CUUAGGACCGUUAUAGUUACGGCCGCCGUUUACUGGGGCUUCGGUUCAAAGCUUCGCUUGCGCUAACCUCUCCCCUUAACCUUCCAGCACCGGGCAGGUGUCAGCCCCUAUACUUCGCCUUGCGGCUUCGCAGAGACCUGUGUUUUUGCUAAACAGUCGCCUGGGCCUAUUCACUGCGGCUUUUCUGGGCUAUUCACCCUAAAAAGCACCCCUUCUCCCGAAGUUACGGGGUCAUUUUGCCGAGUUCCUUAACGAGAGUUCUCUCGCACACCUUAGGAUUCUCUCCUCGCCUACCUGUGUCGGUU